UAUUUGAUGUAUGUAUAUUUGUUUGUGUGAUAUAGUCUGCUUGUUGUGCUUGGUGAUCUCUGAGUGGUGAGAUAAGUUCUAACCCAAACUUGAGUGCAAUUAAGAUAGGAGGAUGGUAUAGUCAUGUUCGACUUGUGUGGAGUAGUCCUUAACAAGUUGGCUAGUGGUGAGAUAAGUUCUAACCCAAACUUGAGUGCAAUUAAGAUAGGAGGAUGGUAUAGUCAUGUUCGACUUGUGUGGAGUAGUCCUUAACAAGUUGGCUUGAGACCCAUCUGCUCAGUGG
RNAcentral lists this long non-coding RNA (283 nucleotides) under Lathyrus oleraceus (garden pea). RNAcentral describes it as "Pisum sativum (pea) long non-coding RNA (PSAT_LNC030126)". The record is from RNAcentral. Lineage: Eukaryota; Viridiplantae; Streptophyta; Magnoliopsida; Fabales; Fabaceae.